RNAcentral lists this long non-coding RNA (894 nucleotides) under Ananas comosus (pineapple). RNAcentral's name for it is "long non-coding RNA (ACOM_LNC044248)". Lineage: Eukaryota; Viridiplantae; Streptophyta; Magnoliopsida; Poales; Bromeliaceae. The record is from RNAcentral.
UCACUAUGUCCAAAAGCAUUCCAAGCUUAAUGCCGCUUUAUGACAUUAGCUUACUAAAUCCAUCUCUAGUCCAAGCCUAAUACCGCUUUAUGACAUUAGCCUACUAAAUCCAUCUCUAGUCCAAGCCUAAUACCGCUUUAUGACAUUAGCUUACAAUUUACAUACACUCUAGCAUAUGUCACUCAAUGACAACAUGUCCAACCAUGCUAAGCAUGCGUUCUAAGUCCAAGAGUGUAAUCUACAUGUCAUAUGCACUACAUGCAACAUGAUCUCAAUCAAAUGUAAGAAUGCUAACCAUAUGCAAGGUUCCAAAUAUGAACAGUUCUCUACUACAUAGAGGUCCAAUGUACUUUAUACAUAACAUGCACAUAUUAGGCAUUCUAAAAUUCUCAAAUAUUCUAUCUAGUAAGAAUAUACAUGCAUUUUCAUUUUAUGAAAAGUAAAAACCAUCAUAGGGAUGAUUUAUCCCAUUUUGGUGAGGCCAAACCCACCGAGAGUUCCACGCGGCCUUCGUUUGCGCCGACGAAGAUGCCCACAAGCUUCCUAGCUCCCUAAAGGUUAAAGUAGAGCGAUACACGAACGUUACGAACAACGAAUAGGUUAAACAUUAACCAACUCAAGAAAAGGAUAAUAUCUCACCUAAGUGUAGAAAAUCCCUCUCAAGCUCCAAAUGGGAGCUAGAACCCUUCCAAUCCAACCUAGAGGAAGGUUCUAAACCGAUCAAUCGAGCUCCAAAAGCCCUAGGUCAAAAAUCCCCAAAAUAAACCCUAAAUCCUUAUUUCUAGGGCUACAACAAGAAGACCAUCAAAACACAAAUCAAGAGGAGAGAAAAAGCUUCUAACCUCUUGAGAAGCCUCAAACCAAGCUCAAAGUCCACUAGGUAUGGAGAUCUUC